CUAUACAUGCAAGUCGAGCGCGGGAAGCGAACAGAACUCUUCGGAGGGACGUUCGUGGAACGAGCGGCGGACGGGUGAGUAACACGUAGGCAACCUGCCUGUAAGACUGGGAUAACUCGCGGAAACGCGAGCUAAUACCGGAUAAUACUUAACAUCACCUGAUGAUAAGUUAAAAGGCGGCUUUUGCUGUCACUUACAGAUGGGCCUGCGGCGCAUUAGCUAGUUGGUGGGGUAAGGGCUCACCAAGGCGACGAUGCGUAGCCGACCUGAGAGGGUGAUCGGCCACACUGGGACUGAGACACGGCCCAGACUCCUACGGGAGGCAGCAGUAGGGAAUCUUCCGCAAUGGACGAAAGUCUGACGGAGCAACGCCGCGUGAGUGAUGAAGGUUUUCGGAUCGUAAAACUCUGUUGUCGGGGAAGAACAAGUAUGAUAGUAACGGAUCGUACCUUGACGGUACCCGACCAGAAAGCCACGGCUAACUACGUGCCAGCAGCCGCGGUAAUACGUAGGUGGCAAGCGUUGUCCGGAAUUAUUGGGCGUAAAGCGCUCGCAGGCGGUUCUUUAAGUCUGAUGUGAAAUCUUGCAGCUCAACUGCAAACGUGCAUUGGAAACUGGAGGACUUGAGUGCAGAAGAGGAGAGUGGAAUUCCACGUGUAGCGGUGAAAUGCGUAGAGAUGUGGAGGAACACCAGUGGCGAAGGCGACUCUCUGGUCUGUAACUGACGCUGAGGAGCGAAAGCGUGGGGAG
Molecule: ribosomal RNA, 750 nt
Filed under: Bacillus sp. YIM 91077
Lineage: Bacteria; Bacillati; Bacillota; Bacilli; Caryophanales; Bacillaceae
Description: bacterial SSU rRNA
Rfam family: Bacterial small subunit ribosomal RNA
Source: RNAcentral